RNAcentral lists this ribosomal RNA (254 nucleotides) under uncultured bacterium. RNAcentral's name for it is "partial 16S ribosomal RNA". It matches the Rfam family "Bacterial small subunit ribosomal RNA", at positions 524 to 776 of the family's 1533-position model. The record is from RNAcentral.
CACGUAGGGUGCGAGCGUUGUCCGGAAUUAUUGGGCGUAAAGAGCUCGUAGGCGGUGUGUCGCGUCGGCCGUGAAAACCUGCAGCUUAACUGUGGGCUUGCGGUCGAUACGGGCAUCACUGGAGUUCGGCAGGGGAGACUGGAAUUCCUGGUGUAGCGGUGAAAUGCGCAGAUAUCAGGAGGAACACCGGUGGCGAAGGCGGGUCUCUGGGCCGAUACUGACGCUGAGGAGCGAAAGCAUGGGUAGCAAACAGG